RNAcentral lists this ribosomal RNA (436 nucleotides) under uncultured bacterium. Its description in RNAcentral is "partial 16S ribosomal RNA". It matches the Rfam family "Bacterial small subunit ribosomal RNA", at positions 341 to 792 of the family's 1533-position model. The record is from RNAcentral.
ACGGGAGGCAGCAGUGGGGAAUAUUGGGCAAUGGGGGAAACCCUGACCCAGCAACGCCGCGUGGAGGAAGAAGGUCUUCGGAUCGUAAACUCCUGUCCUCAAAGACGAGGAGAAGACGGUAUUUGAGGAGGAAGCCCCGGCUAACUACGUGCCAGCAGCCGCGGUAAUACGUAGGGGGCAAGCGUUGUCCGGAAUGAUUGGGCGUAAAGGGCGCGUAGGCGGCCUGUUAAGUCUGGAGUGAAAGUCCUGCUUUUAAGGUGGGAAUUGCUUUGGAUACUGAUGGGCUUGAGUGCAGGAGAGGUAAGUGGAAUUCCCAGUGUAGCGGUGAAAUGCGUAGAUAUUAGGAGGAACACCAGUGGCGAAGGCGGCUUGCUGGACGACAACUGACGCUGAGGCGCGAAAGCGUGGGGAGCAAACAGGAUUAGAUACCCUGGUA